This is a small nucleolar RNA of Tachyglossus aculeatus (Australian echidna), 138 nucleotides long. The record is from RefSeq and is a predicted model, not a curated record. Lineage: Eukaryota; Metazoa; Chordata; Mammalia; Monotremata; Tachyglossidae.
CCCCACUCAGAGUCACACCUGGAGAGUUUCCAAUACUCUACCAGUCUCGGCUAUGGGAGGGAGAGUCAAGCAGAGGUCUACCCAUUCCAUUCCUAGCUUGGGCAGUGACUAGUGAGUGGAAGGCAAUCUGCUACAAGU